AGCUUUCUAGCUCAGGGGAAGAGCGCCGGGCUCAUAACCCGGAGGUCACUGGAUCGAAACCAGUGAAAGCUA
Molecule: non-coding RNA, 72 nt
Organism: Parathielavia hyrcaniae
Lineage: Eukaryota; Fungi; Ascomycota; Sordariomycetes; Sordariales; Chaetomiaceae
Source: the annotation of a GenBank genome assembly